UGGGGAAUUUUGGACAAUUGGGCGAAAGCCUGAUCCAGCAAUGCCGCGUGUGUGAAGAAGGCCUUCGGGUUGUAAAGCACUUUUGUCCGGAAAGAAAUCCUUGGCUCUAAUACAGUCGGGGGAUGACGGUACCGGAAGAAUAAGCACCGGCUAACUACGUGCCAGCAGCCGCGGUAAUACGUAGGGUGCAAGCGUUAAUCGGAAUUACUGGGCGUAAAGCGUGCGCAGGCGGUUUGCUAAGACCGAUGUGAAAUCCCCGGGCUCAACCUGGGAACUGCAUUGGUGACUGGCAGGCUAGAGUAUGGCAGAGGGGGGUAGAAUUCCACGUGUAGCAGUGAAAUGCGUAGAGAUGUGGAGGAAUACCGAUGGCGAAGGCAGCCCCCUGGGCAAUACUGACGCUCAUGCACGAAAGCGUGGGGAGCAAACAGGAUUAGAUACCCUGGUAGUCCACGCCCUAAACGAUGUCAACUAGUUGUUGGGGAUUCAUUUCCUUAGUAACGUAGCUAACGCGUGAAGUUGACCGCCUGGGGAGUACGGUCGCAAGAUUAAAACUCAAAUGAAUUGACGGGGUCAUAGCUG
This 579-nucleotide ribosomal RNA is filed under the name uncultured bacterium. RNAcentral describes it as "partial 16S ribosomal RNA". It matches the Rfam family "Bacterial small subunit ribosomal RNA", at positions 355 to 932 of the family's 1533-position model. The record is from RNAcentral.